Molecule: ribosomal RNA, 253 nt
Filed under: uncultured bacterium
Lineage: Bacteria
Description: partial 16S ribosomal RNA
Rfam family: Bacterial small subunit ribosomal RNA
Source: RNAcentral
GACGUAGGGCGCGGGCGUUGUCCGGAUUUAUUGGGCGUAAAGAGCUCGUAGGCGGCUUGUCGCGUCGUCCGUGAAAACCCACGGCUUAACUGUGGGCUUGCGGUCGAUACGGGCAGGCUGGAGUUCGGUAGGGGAGACUGGAAUUCCUGGUGUAGCGGUGAAAUGCGCAGAUAUCAGGAGGAACACCGAUGGCGAAGGCAGGUCUCUGGGCCACUACUGACGCUGAGAAGCGAAAGCAUGGGGAGCGAACAGG